Molecule: ribosomal RNA, 383 nt
Filed under: uncultured Rhodocyclaceae bacterium
Lineage: Bacteria; Pseudomonadati; Pseudomonadota; Betaproteobacteria; Rhodocyclales; Rhodocyclaceae
Description: bacterial SSU rRNA
Rfam family: Bacterial small subunit ribosomal RNA
Source: RNAcentral
AGAUUGAACGCUGGCGGCAUGCCUUACACAUGCAAGUCGAACGGCAGCACGGGAGCUUGCUCCUGGUGGCGAGUGGCGAACGGGUGAGUAAUACAUCGGAACGUACCCAGGAGUGGGGGAUAACGUAGCGAAAGUUACGCUAAUACCGCAUAUUCUGUGAGCAGGAAAGCGGGGGAUCGCAAGACCUCGCGCUCUUGGAGCGGCCGAUGUCGGAUUAGCUAGUUGGUGAGGUAAAAGCUCACCAAGGCGACGAUCCGUAGCAGGUCUGAGAGGAUGAUCUGCCACACUGGGACUGAGACACGGCCCAGACUCCUACGGGAGGCAGCAGUGGGGAAUUUUGGACAAUGGGGGCAACCCUGAUCCAGCCAUGCCGCGUGAGUGAA